AUGGGAGGGAAAGAGGGAGAAGGUGAAGAAUGCAGGGAUUUUGUGAUGACUGGGGGCAGACAUUUCCCACAAAUAUUUUAUGGUUUGCUCACACCUUCACUGUGUGUGAAGCCAGUGGUUAGUAAUGACCGUACGACCCCAGAAAGCACAGUGACUCCAUUUGGAAACCGCAGGAGGUUUGCAGUGGAUGCCUGCUCCCAUGUGGAGCCUGCUGCCCUCACGGGGCAAGUCCUUGGUUUUAUUAAACGCAUCGUGACCUUGUGCAACUACAUCCCCCACGAGGGCCGGCUGACCUUUCCCUCCCCAUCUCACUGUAGCCUCCAUCUCCUUGUCAGCAGGACCAUGCGGCAUCACAUCGGAGCCCAUGGAACAGCUGAUGCACUGAUGAUGGAGUCGUGUUGCCUGCUGCUCUCUACAACUAAUCAUGAAAACAAUAACAAUAUUAAAAAAAAAAAAAAAAAAGCCACCAGCUACAGAGCCACGAGGAGCCAAGUGAUCACAAAGUGCUCCUUCCCCUGGCAUAACCUCACCACUUCUGGCAAACAGCUGUUGAGAAACUUCCAGAGAUGAAGACUGCAUGUGCAUCAUUAUUAUCAUUAUAUUGUGAUCAAUAGCUACCAGUGGUCUUAGCCUCCAGAAAUUUUUCAGAUCUCUCUGAAUUCAUUUAGGAUUUUGGCAUCCAAAACGUACCACAGACACGGUCUGCAUGGUUUUGUUAUCUAUGAUUUGGUUUUGGCUGGCAGUUUCUCCAAGUGUCCCCAGUUAGCUGCUUCUCAGAAAUCCUGCGGAAUCACUCCCCUCCCAGCCAGGCACGGGUUUCUACACCCCUGCUGUGCUCCAUUCUCAGCACAGAGGGGCAUGGGCAUGGCAGGAAGAAAGUUGGCAGGGCUUUGAGCUCGGUGGGAAGUAGGAGCUGCUGCUUUUGCAGAGCAGAAGAGCACAGCUGGGCUGGGCAGUCCUUCCUUCCCACCGUCCCAGUGAGCUGGUGGCCUCGUCGUGCCGCCCAUCCCUGCUCAUUUUGGUGCUGCACGCGGUCAAGAAGCAGCACCAGGAGUGUCCUCCACGAUCCCUCUUGUCUGAACGCUUGGCAGCUGCCACCCAAAGGCCUUGGGGGGACGAUGCUACUUGCGAUGGCAGCGCUCCUUUCCUUCAAAUCUGUGACGGGCGGCUUUGUGCAGGCUGCAGGCAAGCUGCAGCCCCAGAGGCUGCUUUGCCAGGGAGGUGCAUUUCACACAUGCUUUGCAGGUACAGGAUCACAGCCUGGCUUUGUAAAUGAACCCCCUGUGAUCAGAAACAGGAGCACCAGCUCUUCCCCAGCAACACAAGCCAGGCCCUGGUGUGGCUUGCUGCUGCCAGCCAGAGAUAGAGCUGCGAGAUACUGCGAGUGCUGCUUUUGAUCUGAGCUGUUAUUACGUGGCAGCACAUUGAAUUUGCAGUACAAAAACCGAGUGGCCUGAUCCUAGGCACAUUCCUACUCCGCCUGCCAGCGUGCUUGCAGUCGGGCCCGGCCCUGCGGCUCUCACCAAGGUGCCAUUUGCAGGCAGUUCACUGGGUGGGGAAGGCAAGGCAGAGAGCUGUGGCACUUACUGCUCUCCCCAUGCAAUCUCUAAUUUCCCCAUUCGCUUCAAUUUGCCCUGAGCACCUUUUUAAAGUGUGUUUCAAUUUACCUCUUUCAGAGCUUUGGCUGGCACUUAUCAUCCUCUGAGGGUGCUUAAUCAGCUCCUGUCUGAAUCCCCAGCUCUGUCAGGAUAACUAAUGUCCAGGUCUCCAACUAGCUGAAAAUUGUCGUCCCCCCUCCCUGAGCAUGUGACAUAUAAAGGGACUCUGUUUUCUUCAGUGGAUGUUUUUGUCUGGUAGGCAAAUGACCCCAGCUGGCUCGCACAGUAGGGUAUGGCUGCAGACACCUGCCCGCCUGCCCAGGGCAGGGGAGGUGUGGUGCGUUUUUGGGAUUAAAGCUGAGGGCUGUUGACCCCAUGGGGCGCUGCUCUUGUCGCAGAGGUGUUUUUCCCUCCAAACCGUUUGAUCCCAUCUUCUCCCAGGGCAGUUUCCAGAACAAAGUCACCCUGUCUCGGGAGCGCUGUCAGAUGUCCUUCCAAACCAUGCUGAAGCUCACUCCGGGCUGCAGGAGCCAAGCUGGCCGCACCUGGGAAGGCAAGGACCUCCAGGCACCCAAAGAUCGCUGGAGAUCCAGAACGGCUGCCCUGCACUGAUCUGAGCGUGCAGGGAGAAGGUAAUUAGUCGUCCUGAAGAAAUGAGUCAGGUCUCUCUGCUACUUAGGAAAGCACAAACCGGCCCGGCACUGACACGCGCUUGGUGCGUCCGGGCGUCGCGACUUUUUCCAAGCUGGUGGCAUGACAUGGGAGGUGAUAGGGAUCUCGCUGCAACGACACAAUCUCUAGUAAGGCCCAAUAUCUUGCUUUCCGCAUUAAAAUGAAAAGAAAAACUCUCUGUAGUUAGUAGCCAGGAGAUCUUCUGAAGUAGAAGCUGACUCUGAGUCAGUGCCAUAAAUGCCCGAGUCUGCACGCAGCCUGAGACAGCUGCCCUCUUCUCACUUGCCCUAUUUGUCUUGAUGCGUGGGUCAUGACACGGCCUCAAAACAGUGCCUCGAAGGUCAACAUCAACCUUUUUACAAGGGCGGUGAAGAAGAUGCCCCCCUCAUUUGUUCAGCCCACCCUUUCUGGGUGCACCCCGUGAAGCACAACCCACCAUCUGCUACAAAACUCCCCCAAACUUGGGAUUCCCCUCAUUUUCACCUACCGUUGCCUGCGGUCAGUGCAGAGCCGCGGCGCUUCCUGGAAGCGUAGGGACGGGGUCAGGUGGGUGGCAUUUGUCAGAAAAAUACCCAACCCGAGGUGUUUGGGCCUGGUGAUGCUUCUGUUCUCCCACCAAACCGAGAGCCGGAGGAUUUCCCUGAGCAGCCUGGAAGCCGAGCAGGCUCCGCACUGAAGGGCUGAGGACAGCAGAGGGCUCUGCUGCGAGAGGUUGGUCUGGACAGCCACGAAGUCCGCAGGAUUGUGCUCUCAAGGCACGCUCCCCUGUGGGAUGGUCCCCCCGCUCUGUCAGCGGGGGCCUGAGCAUCUUCUUCGCAGGCUGCCAGCGGCUGUCGUUGGGGUUGCUCCUGUCCUGAGCCCUGCUACUUUCCGUGAGCACUGCUGAGCACACGAUUCCCAUGUAUUGCCAUGAAAAAUCAGCCAUGUCUGGCAGAAGCGCCAAGCUUAUGCUCAGAAACCGGUUUCCGACAGCACUUGACCCGCUGGGGAAGGCAACCCCUCGGUGUUUUUGGCCGUGCCGUAGCUUUCCCCAGCCCGCCCGACAAAUUAGCCUACCUGUAGCUGCAUUUGUGCCUUUCCUAUAGGAAGUUUACGUUGAAGGCACGCCAGGCUGCGCUCCCUGGGCCGGGCACCGCUCUGGCACGCCGCGCCUCGUCUGCUGGGGAAGUUUGGCCGGCUCUGCUGGCACGAUAAUGUGUUUGCUGGGCUCUUACACUUGAAGGGAUGGGAUUUCUGCCGGUAUUUUAUGCUUAAAAGGAUACAGCAUUUUGUCAACACAGAAUGCAGUGUGCACCCUCCCAGCCUGUUGCCUGGGCUGUCAGCCAGGCAGCUCCUAAUAGCACCGAGGCAGGCAACGGAGGGUUGGAGUAUGUGAGCUGGGGAGAAGUGGUCUGCGCGUCGUGUCGCACGGGGAGCCUGGGAGCGCACAGGAGACGCGACGGUAAUCCUAAAAGAGAUCUUACUUCCCAAAGCCUCCGUGAGGGCUAACUUCAAGGUUUUGUAAUGUCAAGGUUUGGUAGCGUCAAGGUUUGAAAACGUCCAGGUUUGAAAAGAGCAAGAUUUUGCUAUCCCAAAGCGAGAAAAUAGCAAGAUUUUGCUGUUUUUGUAAUUUCAAGAUUGGAAAAACAUCAAGAUGCGAACACAUCAAGAUUGGAACACAUCAAGAUUUUCUGGUUUCCAGAUCUUUGUAACUUCACGAUUUUGUCAUUUCGAGAUUUGCUAAUUGCACGAUUUCCUAAUGUCAAGGCUCGGAAACGUGCACAUUUCCCAAUUUUAGGAUUUCCUAAGGGCUCUUCUCGCCCUCGGAGCUCCCCGUUCCCUGCCCGCUGCCCCCCCCCCCUCCGGCCGUGCCCCGCCGCCGGUGCGCGCCCAGCACCGCGCAGCGCCCGGGGGCGGAGCCUCGCAGCGGGCGGCGCGUCCCCAUUGGCCGCAGGGCUAUGGGUAUUUUACAUACCCCCUCCUCCGCGCGCCCUAUUGGCCGCGGCGCUCGGGCGCAUUUGCAUGUCCCCGCCCACCCCGCGCCGCGCUGCGGUGUGGGGCCGGCGGCGCGGCGCAGUGCAGGAGCCGGGCCGGGAGCGGGGCCGCGGCCGGCGGCGGGCAGCAGGCAGCAGGCAGCGGGCGGCUCCGGCGGCGCACGGCCAAGGGGAGCGGGGCUGCACGGCUCGGCUCGGCUCGGCAGGGGUCAGCACGGCUCGGCCCAGCGGGGCUGCCCCCUCCCCGUCCCCCGCUUUUCAUCCGCUCCGUGCCCGGGCGCCUUGG
Long non-coding RNA from Cairina moschata (Muscovy duck), 4529 nucleotides. NCBI's taxonomy places the organism in Eukaryota, Metazoa, Chordata, Aves, Anseriformes, Anatidae. The record is from Ensembl.